GACAGAGGGUGCAAACGUUGCUCGGAAUUACUGGGCGUAAAGGGCGCGUAGGCGGCGUGUCAAGUCAGGCGUGAAAGCCCCGGGCUCAACCUGGGAACCGCGCUUGAGACUGGCAUGCUCGAGUUCGGGAGAGGAUGGUGGAAUUCCCAGUGUAGAGGUGAAAUUCGUAGAUAUUGGGAAGAACACCGAUGGCGAAGGCCAGCCAUCUGGACCGACACUGACGCUGAGGCGCGGAAAGCGUGGGGAGCAAACAGG
This 255-nucleotide ribosomal RNA is filed under the name uncultured bacterium. RNAcentral describes it as "partial 16S ribosomal RNA". It matches the Rfam family "Bacterial small subunit ribosomal RNA", at positions 524 to 776 of the family's 1533-position model. The record is from RNAcentral.